Molecule: long non-coding RNA, 3043 nt
Organism: Homo sapiens (human)
Lineage: Eukaryota; Metazoa; Chordata; Mammalia; Primates; Hominidae
Gene: DRAIC
Product: downregulated RNA in cancer, inhibitor of cell invasion and migration
Source: Ensembl
GUGUCCGGAGAGGCCAACGCUUUCAUUAGCCAGCAGGAAUGGGCUGGGGCGCGUUUGUAGUUGGGAAUCCUGAGCCCGGGCUGUUGCUUGGAGGACUCGGGAGCAGCAGUGGAUUUCGGCGUUACCAGGAGAGCUAUGUAUAGGAAUGCCGCUAUGGAAAGACAUCCAGGACACCUUGUUAAGUGAAAAAAGACAUGCCACCAUUAGGGCUUCAUUUCCCUGCAGUCUUCUUUAAAUACCAAAACUGCCCUGGGAAGGAUAAGACAUCAGUUUCUUCAUACUUCAGAGCAAAUGGGAUUGAUUCCCAGGACCUCCUUUCUGUGGACUGGGUUUUUGCCUCCUCACCAAGAGACUGGGCUCCCUGGGCGAGCAGAGGCUGCUGGGUUCAGUAUCUGAACACUUUUGCUAAAGGUCUCUGGAAAGCUCCCUGUGUUAAUUCUCGAUGAGACUACGUCUGUGCCGGCCGCUUCCUGAGCCUCCUUCCAUGUGCAUAGGCCUGCUGCAUGCUGGAGACCUGCGGCACAGCUGCCAAGUGCCCCGUGUGGUUCUGUGAUCUUGGGACAGUCACUUCCUCUCUGUGGUUGUCAGUCUUCUCAUCCCUAAGCACUCAAGAAGCCCUUCCUUCUCUGGCUGUCAAGUCUGGACUCAUCUCUUGUCUUACACACGGACAGUUGUUUUAAGGAAAAGCCCCUGGUUGGACUUGCAGAUUGGGCACAGCCCUGGACGUAUACUACAGGUGCUCAUCAAGGCUUGCCUCAUCUGUUUACCCUCCAGGUCAUGCCCCUUUCUACCUCUACACCCUGUUGCAUUGCGGGCAUGGCCUCCGGAAAAGUCAAGCAUGGCGAAAGGAAGCGUGGCCCAGAGCUGGCACGCCACAGGCAAAUGGAAUAAAAAGGCCUACCUCAUUGGGCUCGUGUGGGUGAGGAGAACUGAAGAGUCUGAGAGCGCGGCACGAGCCAGAGGCUACGGAAAACACUGCCCUCCUACACUCCACCUUGGAGAGACCCAGAAAAGAACAAGCUUCAUUUGUAAAAAAGGAAAACAACUCAGGCAAUGGGGGUGGCUUAAAGGCACUCUACAGUGUGCAGAUGCCUUCCACUUCUUCCAUCUGCCCUGUCUCUCCAAGAACCCCUAUGGCCCCGGUCUCAGAACAGAGCUGAGUGCAGAAAUGAAAAUCUAUGGCUCUGUGUUCCAAAACGAUGAAGAAUUUCAAGAUGGUGGCAGUGGUAAAAUCUUUCUCCAGGAAAAAUCUGUCCUUGGCCCAAUGUGUAAACACUUGCUGAGUAUUGUGAAACCAGCAACUUGUUCACAAUUCUUCUGAAUUUCUUGGGAAAUUUGAAGUGGAGUACCUGUACCAACAUGAAAUGACACGAAUUUAAGUGACGCUCAACAACGAAAAGCAAAAAGAACCAAAGAGGAAGCAACUGAAACAACAUCUGGAUGUAUUUAAAAAUAUACAAUGCCUCCAAAAUCAGGUGUCAUUAAUGAAAAUUCUGAAGAAAUGCCACCGGACAUAGCCAACGCACCUACGCUGUUGUUAUUCAUUUCCUGCUUUUCACAGAAAACAAUUUUGUUGCAUGGAAGAUCGGACAAGGCUGUUCUCUGAAGUUCCCUCAUCCACCUAGAAACCAGAUGGCCGAAGAGGAACACAAUUGCCUUCCAUCCCCUUCCUGAAAUUUCAUUAUCUAGAGGAUUAAAACCCAUAUCACAGAGGAAGAGAUUGAAAAUUAAACAUCACACCUACAACCCAUACUUCGGAGCACUGACCCAAAUUGUCUAUUUUUAAGUCCCAUUCCAUUUCCAAAGAUAAUUAUUUACUAACCAUUGUCUGGAGCAUUGGGCCCAUUCAUUCCUCUUAAAAAUCAUUUGCUGGGCCAGGAGUGGUGGCUUACGCCUGUAAUCCCAGCACUGGGAGGCCGAAGCGGGAGGAUCACGAGGUCAAGAGAUCGAGACCAUCCUGGCCAACAUGGUGAAACCCUGUCUCUACUAAAAAUACAAAAAUUAGCUGGGUGUAGUGGCACAUGCCUGUAGUCUCAGCUACUCGGGAGACUGAGGCAGGAGAAUUGCUUGAACCCAGGAGGUGGAGGUUGCAGUGAGCCGAGAUCAUGCCACUGCACUCCAGCCUGGCGAAAGAGUGAGAUUCCGUCUCAAAAAAAAAAAAAAAUUAUUUUCUACCCCUCAAAACAGCCACUUUCUCCUCCAUCUCCUCUUCCCUGAUGAAGAAAGGCGUAUGAGCAUCUGGACCUCAUUGGGUUUAGGUCAUCAUGUUCUUGCAAUUCCUGUGUGCUUAUGCACAUUAAAUGAAUUUGUAUGCCUUUUCCUCUUAUUAAUCUGCCUAUUGUAAAUUCAUUUUCAGUGAACUUCAAAGGGCAGAGGGGAAACUGUCCCUUGGCCUCUACCCCUCCAAGGCCCCACUUUUUUGUCAACACUCCUUGGACGCAGCAGAAGUAUGAACAUAAUAUGGUCCUGAAUGAGGCUGAGUCUUUGGGCGCAGAAGACCCGGGUUAAUAAAAAUAGGAAGGUAAGAAAAGAAAAGAAAAAUCAAGACACAUCAUAGGACUAAAUUCCUAUUAUUUAUCCACUCAGGAUUGACCACCCCUUUGGGCCAGAUAGUUGUACCCCCAUGUACCAGGUGGGCACAUGAAGACACAAGAAGUGCUGUGAUGGUUCAUUUUGCACGUCACCUUGCGUGGAGUAUGCCAACUCAUUGUUUGGUCAAACACUAGUCUGGACAUGGUGGUAAAGGUAUUUUUUAGAUGAGAUUAACACUUAAAUCAGUAAAGCAGGUUACCCACCAUACUACGGGUGGGCCCUGUCCAAUCAGUUGAAGGCAUUAAGAACAAAGAUUGAGGUUUCCUAAAGAAGAUGGAAUUCUCCUUGAGACUACAACAUAGAAACCCUAUCUGAGUUUCCAGCCUGUUGCCCUGUGGAAUUCAAACUCAGGACUCCGGUCUAUGACAUUAACCCUCACUUAACUUUUCAGCCUGCCAGCCUGCCCUAUGGAUUUCGGACUUGCCAGCCACACAAUUCCUUAAAAUAAAUC